This 2264-nucleotide long non-coding RNA is filed under the name Anas platyrhynchos (mallard). RNAcentral describes it as "lncRNA (ENSAPLG00020001724.1)". The record is from RNAcentral. Lineage: Eukaryota; Metazoa; Chordata; Aves; Anseriformes; Anatidae.
AUGCUCAGACCUGUGCACGGUGCAACUGGAAAGGGUGAAGCUCUUGAGACCAAGGGUUUAGCAAGGCGAAGCUGUGACUAUAAAGACAUAAAUAAUAUGUAUAAAACCCCAUUUUUCUUUUCUUUUUUUCUUUUUUUUUUUUUUUCAGAGUAUAUAUUCAAAGCACGCCCUCGUGACUGCAUCAGUAGACAAGAGGAGGUCCCCGCAGAAGAUCAAGGCACCCGGUACAGCUUCCUCCUAUCCCAGCCCACCUCCAGCUCGGCCCGACGGGGAAUUAAUUGCAACACUGGACAAAUUGGCGCAGCCGGGCUCUGGCACGAGGUUAUUCCGCCCUGCGGCUCUCCCUCUGCGUCAGCUAAUUGCCAGGGACUUGCAGCACAGCCUGCGUGUAGGAGGAGGGCUCUGUGCAGCCUUUGUGUGCACAGCCGAGGUGGGCGAUGCCACCCCAAGGACACCGCCACCACAAGGUGGAAAGGGGGCGAGGGGGCAUGGGGACGGGCGCCGCUGGGUGGCCCUGCCACCCCGAGCCCUUGCCGCAGGGUUUUUUUCCUGAUGGACUUUGCUCCCCUGAAUAGCAUGAGAAGGAAGUUUCCAGGGCAACUGGAAACGGGAAAAUGAAGGAGAAAUAAGUCACUGUGAGUGUUUUCAUCCGGGGUGGGUGGCAGUGGUGACAUCCUGGCUUGUUUACCAAGCCAGCCUUUAGGAUGAGGCUUCCCGUUCACCACACGAUCAUUUAAGGUUUACAUUUCCCUUCUGACUGCUGUAAUUUAAUUUUGCCUGCGCAGCCUCCUGCCUUUUCUUAAUCUAUAAAAUCCAGGAGAAAGAAAGGAAAAAAAAAAAAAAAAAGAAAGAAACCAGAUGCCUCCAGCUAAGCUGGUGAUAAAGAUGCUGUCCAGCAGCUGGGGCAGGGAUGCUGUGGGGUUUCCCAGCAGGGUUGCCCAAAGAUUUCUGCAGCUUUAGGUGCCUGGCGUGGUUCUUGCUGCCUGCCUUUCACUGAAUCCCAGAAGAUCUGGGGUGGUAAAGGGACCUCUGGGCCACCUGCAGCAGGUUGCAGCCAGGUUGGAUUUGAAAAUCUCCAAGGAGGAGACUCCACGUCUUCUCUGGGCAACCCAUGGCAGGGCUCAGGAGGUGCCUAAAAACAUUCUUUGAGUAUCUUGGCACCAAAGCCACUUCGGCAAUCGUCCUCUCUGCGCUUUGUGGAUUUGCUUUUGCCACAUAAUGAACCCCUAAGAAGCAUCUAACUCCAAAUCAGGAGCCAGUCCUUCCUGUGGGGUGACUUACUGCAGGGGGCAGCGCCCCAGCCAGAAGGGCACAUGCUGUUCUCCCCACCAGAAAUGAUUUCCCAAGCACUUUCAGUCACGUUGAGGGGGUAAAAAUAUGUUUUUUUAUCACUGUUUCCUUCACUGAUUCACAGUGUGGUAAGAGCAGAGGGGGGCAAGGUUAUCUGUGAGCAGGGAAAAAAUAAACUCAGGAAACUGCUUUCUGGAAAUGUUUGUGUGCCCUGCAAGACAACAUAUUUUUUUUUAAUCUUUUUUUUUUUUUAUUAUUUUAAUCAGCUCUAAAUAAACCUCUGCAAGGUUUGUUCUAAAGAAAUCAGCCCUUUGCUCAAUCCUUUCACCACCCUGCUGAGGUUGCACGUGUUUGCCCAAGGAAUUACGACAGAGCAGCUUUGCAUCAGACCCCACCAAGAUGCUUCCUGGGGCCUGGGAGACUCUAAGCUAGGAGGGCUGUGGCAAUGCAGCCCGGGCUGAGAUACUCCAAGCCAUGUUUCCUCCUGGUCCUGGGAGCCCACACCAAGGACAGAGGCACUUUUCAAGCAAAAAUGCUGGAAAAAGCUUGCAGGAGCAAAGCUCCAUGUGUGAGCCUUGCAGCAGGUCUACGUCCAGGUGUGAGGUUUUUUGGGGGGGCACAGGGUCACUGCUAGCAUCAGGAUCUGCCCCUUUCUCUGCUUUGCCUCAUCAUGGUGUCCCCUGCAUGAAAACCAGCCUCUGCCUGCACCUCCUCAGGAUGCACACAUGAAAACAGAAGCGUGGGCCAGCAAAUACUCACCUGGUAUUUGCGAGUGUCCUACAAAGAGCCAGAGCCGGGUGUAAAACCCACCACAGCUACUGCUGGCUUAUUUUUCCAAAAUUCAGCCCUUAUUCACAGAUACUCUGAGUUUUAGCUCACAGCUUACCUCAUCCUUCUCAAUGAAGAAUUGCCUGAAGAAGACUGCCAGGGCCAGGAAAGCCCCAGGAACACGCUGCUGGCCCCUGACACAAGCC